RNAcentral lists this ribosomal RNA (253 nucleotides) under uncultured bacterium. RNAcentral describes it as "partial 16S ribosomal RNA". It matches the Rfam family "Archaeal small subunit ribosomal RNA", at positions 474 to 727 of the family's 1478-position model. The record is from RNAcentral.
UACCAGCACCCCGAGUGGUCGGGACGAUUAUUGGGCCUAAAGCAUCCGUAGCCGGUCCUGCAAGUCUUCCGCUAAAUCCAGCUGCUCAACAGAUGGGCUGCGGAGGAUACUACAGGGCUAGGAGGCGGGAGAGGCAAGCGGUACUUUAUGGGUAGGGGUAAAAUCCGUUGAUCCAUAGAAGACCACCAGUGGCGAAGGCGGCUUGCCAGAACGCGCUCGACGGUGAGGGAUGAAAGCUGGGGGAGCAAACCGG